This 466-nucleotide ribosomal RNA is filed under the name uncultured bacterium. RNAcentral describes it as "partial 16S ribosomal RNA". It matches the Rfam family "Bacterial small subunit ribosomal RNA", at positions 28 to 507 of the family's 1533-position model. The record is from RNAcentral.
GACGAACGCUGGCGGCGUGCUUAACACAUGCAAGUCGAACGGAAAGGCCAGUGCUUGCACUGGUACUCGAGUGGCGAACGGGUGAGUAACACGUGGGUGAUCUGCCUUGCACUCUGGGAUAAGCUUGGGAAACUGGGUCUAAUACCGGAUAUGAACUGCCUUUAGUGUGGUGGUUGGAAAGUUUUUUCGGUGCAAGAUGAGCUCGCGGCCUAUCAGCUUGUUGGUGGGGUAAUGGCCUACCAAGGCGUCGACGGGUAGCCGGCCUGAGAGGGUGUACGGCCACAUUGGGACUGAGACACGGCCCAGACUCCUACGGGAGGCAGCAGUGGGGAAUAUUGCACAAUGGGCGGAAGCCUGAUGCAGCGACGCCGCGUGGGGGAUGACGGCCUUCGGGUUGUAAACUCCUUUCGACAGGGACGAAGCGUAAGUGACGGUACCUGUAUAAGAAGCACCGGCUAACUACGUG